Molecule: ribosomal RNA, 503 nt
Filed under: uncultured fungus
Lineage: Eukaryota; Fungi
Also listed under: 2 other names
Description: eukaryotic LSU rRNA
Rfam family: 5.8S ribosomal RNA (bases 153-306)
Source: RNAcentral
GAAGGAUCAUUACCUAGAGUUGUAGGCUUUGCCUGCUAUCUCUUACCCAUGUCUUUUAAGUACCUUACGUUUCCUCGGCGGGUCCGCCCGCCGAUUGGACAAUUUAAACCAUUUGCAGUUGCAAUCAGCGUCUGAAAAAACUUAAUAGUUACAACUUUCAACAACGGAUCUCUUGGUUCUGGCAUCGAUGAAGAACGCAGCGAAAUGCGAUAAGUAGUGUGAAUUGCAGAAUUCAGUGAAUCAUCGAAUCUUUGAACGCACAUUGCGCCCCUUGGUAUUCCAUGGGGCAUGCCUGUUCGAGCGUCAUUUGUACCUUCAAGCUCUGCUUGGUGUUGGGUGUUUGUCUCGCCUCUGCGUGUAGACUCGCCUCAAAACAAUUGGCAGCCGGCGUAUUGAUUUCGGAGCGCAGUACAUCUCGCGCUUUGCACUCAUAACGACGACGUCCAAAAGUACAUUUUUACACUCUUGACCUCGGAUCAGGUAGGGAUACCCGCUGAACUUAA